This is a non-coding RNA of Gossypium raimondii (Peruvian cotton), 145 nucleotides long. Lineage: Eukaryota; Viridiplantae; Streptophyta; Magnoliopsida; Malvales; Malvaceae. The record is from Rfam.
UGUUAAAAACUUUAUCUAUUUCUACUUUUAAAAACUUGUGUAGCUAACAUAAUAAUAAGACAGUUACACGUGGUGUGUUACAUAUACCUGAUUCUAAUGCAUAUGAUCCAAUUUUUAAUAGUAGAAAUGGAUGGAGUUUUUAAUA